This 73-nucleotide transfer RNA is filed under the name Felis catus (domestic cat). It matches the Rfam family "tRNA". From Rfam's summary of the family: Transfer RNA (tRNA) molecules are approximately 80 nucleotides in length. Their secondary structure includes four short double-helical elements and three loops (D, anti-codon, and T loops). Lineage: Eukaryota; Metazoa; Chordata; Mammalia; Carnivora; Felidae. RNAcentral also lists the same sequence under 2 other names. The record is from Rfam by way of RNAcentral.
GCCUGGCUGGCUUAGCUGGUAGAGCAUCCGACUCUUGAUCCCAGGGUUGUGAGUUCAAGCCCCACGUUGAGCA